GAUGAACGCUGGCGGCGUGCCUAAUACAUGCAAGUCGGGCGAACGGACGAGAAGCUUGCUUUUCUGAUGUUAGCGGCGGACGGGUGAGUAACACGUGGAUAACCUACCUAUAAGACUGGGAUAACUUCGGGAAACCGGAGCUAAUACCGGAUAAUAUUUUGAACCGCAUGGUUCAAAAGUGAAAGACGGUCUUGCUGUCACUUAUAGAUGGAUCCGCGCUGCAUUGGCUAGUUGGUAAGGUAACGGCUUACCAAGGCAACGAUGCAUAGCCGACCUGAGAGGGUGAUCGGCCACACUGGAACUGAGACACGGUCCAGACUCCUACGGGAGGCAGCAGUAGGGAAUCUUCCGCAAUGGGCGAAAGCCUGACGGAGCAACGCCGCGUGAGUGAUGAAGGUCUUCGGAUCGUAAAACUCUGUUAUUAGGGAAGAACAUAUGUGUAAGUAACUGUGCACAUCUUGACGGUACCUAAUCAGAAAGCCACGGCUAACUACGUG
This 497-nucleotide ribosomal RNA is filed under the name uncultured bacterium. Its description in RNAcentral is "partial 16S ribosomal RNA". It matches the Rfam family "Bacterial small subunit ribosomal RNA", at positions 28 to 507 of the family's 1533-position model. The record is from RNAcentral.